This 453-nucleotide ribosomal RNA is filed under the name uncultured bacterium. Its description in RNAcentral is "partial 16S ribosomal RNA". It matches the Rfam family "Bacterial small subunit ribosomal RNA", at positions 29 to 523 of the family's 1533-position model. The record is from RNAcentral.
AACGAACGCUGGCGGCAUGCUUAACACAUGCAAGUCGAACGGGCUAGAGCAAUCUAGUCAGUGGCAGACGGGUGAGUAACGCGUGGGAACGUACCUUUUAGUUCGGAACAACGUCUGGAAACGGACGCUAAUACCGUAUGUGCCCGAGAGGGGAAAGAUUUAUCGCUAAGAGAGCGGCCCGCGUUGGAUUAGGUAGUUGGUAGGGUAAUGGCCUACCAAGCCGAUGAUCUAUAGCUGGUCUGAGAGGAUGAUCAGCCACACUGGGACUGAGGCACGGCCCAGACUCCUACGGGAGGCAGCAGUGGGGAAUAUUGGACAAUGGGGGAAACCCUGAUCCAGCAAUGCCGCGUGAGUGAAGAAGGCCUUCGGGUUGUAAAACUCUUUUGGCAGGGACGAUUAUGACGGUACCUGCAGAAUAAGCCCCGGCUAACUUCGUGCCAGCCGCCGCCGUAA